GAUGAACGCUAGCGGCAGGCUUAACACAUGCAAGUCGAGGGGUAGAGGAAGCUUGCUUCCUUGAGACCGGCGCACGGGUGCGUAACGCGUAUGCAAUCUACCUUAUACAGGGGGAUAGCCCAGAGAAAUUUGGAUUAAUACCCCAUAGUAUAAUUGAAUGGCAUCAUUUGAUUAUUAAAGUUCCAACGGUAUAAGAUGAGCAUGCGUCCCAUUAGCUAGUUGGUGUGGUAACGGCACACCAAGGCGACGAUGGGUAGGGGUCCUGAGAGGGAGAUCCCCCACACUGGUACUGAGACACGGACCAGACUCCUACGGGAGGCAGCAGUGAGGAAUAUUGGUCAAAUGGGGCGCAAGCCUGAACCAGCCAUGCCGCGUGCAGGAUGACGGUCCUAUGGAUUGUAAACUGCUUUUGUACAGGAAGAAACACUCCCUCGUGAGGGAGCUUGACGGUACUGUAAGAAUAAGGAUCGGACUAACUCGUGCCAGCAGCCGC
Molecule: ribosomal RNA, 493 nt
Filed under: uncultured bacterium
Lineage: Bacteria
Description: bacterial SSU rRNA
Rfam family: Bacterial small subunit ribosomal RNA
Source: RNAcentral